This 404-nucleotide ribosomal RNA is filed under the name uncultured Bacillota bacterium. RNAcentral's name for it is "bacterial SSU rRNA". It matches the Rfam family "Bacterial small subunit ribosomal RNA", at positions 378 to 774 of the family's 1533-position model. Lineage: Bacteria; Bacillati; Bacillota. The record is from RNAcentral.
AAAGCCUGAUGGAGCAACGCCGCGUGAGUGAAGAAGGAUUUCGGUUCGUAAAACUCUGUUGUAAGGGAAGAACAAGUACAGUAGUAACUGGCUGUACCUUGACGGUACCUUAUUAGAAAGCCACGGCUAACUACGUGCCAGCAGCCGCGGUAAUACGUAGGUGGCAAGCGUUGUCCGGAUUUACUGGGCGUAAAGGGAGCGUAGGCGGAUACUUAAGUGGGAUGUGAAAUACCUGGGCUUAACUUGGGUGCUGCAUUCCAAACUGGGUGUCUAGAGUGUUGGAGAGGAAAGUGGAAUUCCUAGUGUAGCGGUGAAAUGCGUAGAGAUUAGGAAGAACACCAGUGGCGAAGGCGACUUUCUGGACAAUAACUGACGCUGAGGCUCGAAAGCGUGGGGAGCAAACA